GGAAAGGUGGUAUACGGGUAACCGUAUCGAGGGUUCGAAUCCCUUCCUUUCUGCA
This 55-nucleotide transfer RNA is filed under the name Caudoviricetes sp. RNAcentral's name for it is "tRNA-Ser". The record is from RNAcentral. Lineage: Duplodnaviria; Heunggongvirae; Uroviricota; Caudoviricetes.